CGGAGUGCCGGCGCGGAAACGGCCCCGCCCACAUCCCCGCCCACAGCUGCUCCGGCGCCGCCCCUGCCGCGGGGUGCACCCCGCGGAGCCCCGGAGCCCGACCUGACCAAAGGCUGUCACGCUGAGACUUUCUGCCCGAGCUGGGGUGGCUGUGACAAGACUUCCAGCAGCAGAGUGUGCCAGGGUCCAGCAGCUGUUUGAGGUGAGUGACUCCCAGCUGCUCAUAGGUCGUGCACCAGCCCGCAUCUCCUGCGAGGGAAGUUAAUCUCCACACAGCAGCCUAAGUGCCAGGACUGGUGGUGCCCAGUGCACAGCAGGGCCUCAGGACUGAGGCCACCUCACAUACCACAAUGGGGAAGCCAGCAUCAGACCAGAACUGACUGCAGUCAGAUGCUAUGAACUUAAAGUCCAUGUGAACCUUAACAUCAUUUAUCCACUUGGUGUGAAAUCCUUGCAGUGAGAAG
This is a long non-coding RNA of Lutra lutra (Eurasian river otter), 464 nucleotides long. RefSeq lists it as uncharacterized. The record is from RefSeq and is a predicted model, not a curated record. Lineage: Eukaryota; Metazoa; Chordata; Mammalia; Carnivora; Mustelidae. The transcript is spliced from 5 exons.